AUUUGUCUACAAUUUUCGUUUGGCAUGGAAGUGUUAAUGGAAAAUUGGGAUUAAACUAAUCACACUUGGAUUAAUAAGUGGGAUUGGGAAGACAAAACAAAAAAAAAAAACAGCCCACUUUUAGGCCAUGCUUGGCCGUGCAUUUCAAUGCCUUGGUCAAGGAAUCUUGACCCAAAAUUAGUGUGAUCCACAUGUCCAAGGCAUGGAGGGGACAAAGAGACAAAAAAAAUCUGUCCACUCCACACUUUCACAACUCAUUACAACAUUCCAAAGUGUAGAACACUUAGAGAGAGAAAGAGAGACUCACGGCUAGAGCUAGCCGAAAAUGGUGAAGAAAAAUUGAUCCAAAAAUUUCAGUUUCUCAAGCAAUUUAACUCCAUUGAAGGUAUAUUAACGUGUAGCAUCCAUUGAUAUAGCAAGAACAAGUGUUAAAAAAAAAAUCCAAGAAGUGAAAGUGAAGGCUAGCCGAUUGAAGUGUAGUUUCAAGGUAAGAGUUGAUAAUUUUUUUCAUGUGUUGUAUGACGAUUUGAAUGUAUAGUUCAUGCAUGUUGUUGUUGGAUUGUUGUUGUAGUUGAAGUAAAGAGUUAGCCGUGAGUGAGGUGAAGUCAUGAUUGAUUUCAUUUUGCAUGUAUUGUUGAUGAAUUGAAUAUGUAUCAACAUAGGCAAAUGAACAAAGAUUUGUAGAAGUUUGGUUGUGAUGUUGUAUGUUGGAUAUGGGACUGUUUUUUUUUUUUUUUUUUUUUUUCUUGAAAUGAAAAUGAGCCGUGAGUUGAAGGUUCUAAUGAAGUCAUGCUUUAUCUUCUUGAACAUGUAUUGGAAAUGGAUUGAAUGUAUUGUAGUUGGAUAAACGGAUGAAAAUCACGAAAUUGUGGGAAGGGUGUUGUAGCCGUGUAAAAAGGGACUGUUUUAGGGGAGAUUUAGGGACUGUUUUGUGUCACAUUUGGAUUGUUGUUGUUAUGGACAUUGUGGUGCAUUGUAUGCAUGUUGAAUAUGUGAAUUGAGGUGUUAAAGAAAUGAAUUAUGAUGAAGUGUAUAGGCAGUCCAAAACUGUGGACAGUUUUGAUGUUAGAAGUGAAUUUGUGUGUGUUGAAUGUUGAUUCUUGUUGCAAACGUUUAGUGAAAGUAAAGUGCAUUGAUUCAAGCUGAAACUGAAAUGAUGGUGGGCUGUUAUAAGAAUGGAAAUGAUGCUAAAACAGUUCCCAAAAUCAUGAAAGUAAUGUCAUUAAACGUGUUGUUGUUGUUGCAAGUUAAAACUGGAAAAUUGCUAAGUGAGAAUGGAAAUGCUAUGUGUGUUGUUUAGCCAUGUGUAUGAAACAGUUUUGAAUGGUGUAUGGACUGCCCAAGUUCCCUAAGUCAUGUUUAAACAAGUCUUGAUUAAUAUAUGAAAGAACGAUUAGCAAUGUUAGCUUGUAACGCUAGUUGGUUUGAAUGCGAACGAAACGUCGUUUAAUUGUUAGAAAGGAAUUGUGAGUGUCACAAUACGUAUUGAAUGCCCUUGUAGACUAAUUGUAGUUCUUCACAUCUUGAUAUAGGAUAAGUGUUUUUGGGCAGCAAGUACAAGUUAGAAUACAACUAAACGCAAAAGGUACAGACGCUCGUUUCGGAGAUCCGCCAGCUUAGGACACUAUUUCGGCUAUUUUGGACUGCUCCUUUGUUCCGGAGCUAGCUUGUGGUAUAACUCCCUUAUGUUGUAUUCGUAGGUGUUUAUUUGGGUAUGGCGGGGCCCUGUCCCGCCACAUAAUACGGUCAUUACUCUUAGAGGUCUGUGGACAUCGGUGUGGGUCUGCUUGUAGUUGUUGAUGCGUUUUAUGUCUAUGACUUAUGUUUGGGGCGUACCCAUUCGUAAUGGCAGCCUUGUCGGCUCGCACAUGUAUAUGUUGUUCUGUUGGCCCUGUGUGGCCUUUGUUGGAAUUUGCUGUGUACAGGGUUAUUUUGGAUAGUCCGAAAAACAAAGGAAACUCUGCCGAAAUUUUCUUUGAAAAUCUUAUAAAUUUGAAACA
This is a long non-coding RNA of Lycium barbarum (goji berry), 2000 nucleotides long. RefSeq lists it as uncharacterized. The transcript is spliced from 2 exons. Lineage: Eukaryota; Viridiplantae; Streptophyta; Magnoliopsida; Solanales; Solanaceae. The record is from RefSeq and is a predicted model, not a curated record.